This 301-nucleotide ribosomal RNA is filed under the name uncultured bacterium. RNAcentral's name for it is "partial 16S ribosomal RNA". It matches the Rfam family "Bacterial small subunit ribosomal RNA", at positions 509 to 807 of the family's 1533-position model. The record is from RNAcentral.
CAGCAGCCGCGGUAAUACAGAGGGUGCGAGCGUUAAUCGGAUUUACUGGGCGUAAAGCGUGCGUAGGCGGCUUCUUAAGUCGGAUGUGAAAUCCCUGAGCUUAACUUAGGAAUUGCAUUCGAUACUGGGAAGCUAGAGUACGGGAGAGGAUGGUAGAAUUCCAGGUGUAGCGGUGAAAUGCGUAGAGAUCUGGAGGAAUACCGAUGGCGAAGGCAGCCAUCUGGCCUAAUACUGACGCUGAGGUACGAAAGCAUGGGGAGCAAACAGGAUUAGAUACCCCAGUAGUCCCUGUCUCUUAUAC